Molecule: long non-coding RNA, 223 nt
Filed under: Mytilus galloprovincialis (Mediterranean mussel)
Lineage: Eukaryota; Metazoa; Mollusca; Bivalvia; Mytilida; Mytilidae
Source: RNAcentral
AUUGAUAUUCGUAACAUGAAGUUAACUUUGAUUGCGGAUGGUUAUGCAGAAGUCUGUACACAUAUAUUUGUUGUAAUUCAUAGAUCAUCGUACUGCGAUAUGUGUUAUUAUGUGCAGCUUUGAACAUGUAAUCUUCGUUGUAAAAUCUUCAUUUGUUUUGAUUUUUGUUUUGAUUUUUCAAUAUAUAUGCUUGUAUAUGAUAUAAAUAAAAAACGUGUAAGAC